GUACGCUGGCGGCACGCCUAACACAUGCAAGUCGAACGAAGUAGCAAUACUUAGUGGCAGACGGGUGAGUAACAUGUGGGUAUCUACCCUUUGGCCUGGAAUAACACGAGGAAACUUGUGCUAAUACCGGAUAAGUCUUUACGGAGAAAGCUUUAUGCACCAUUGGAUGAGCCCGCACUUGAUUAGUUUGUUGGUAGGGUAAUGGCCUACCAAGACUAUGAUCAAUAGCUGAUUUGAGAGGAUGAUCAGCCACAUUGGGACUGAGACACGGCCCAAACUCCUACGGGAGGCAGCAGUGGGGAAUCUUGCACAAUGGAGGAAACUCUGAUGCAGCGAUGCCGCGUGAGUGAAGAAGGCCUUUGGGUUGUAAAGCUCUUUCGUCGGGGAAGAAAAUGACUGUACCCGAAUAAGAAGGUCCG
RNAcentral lists this ribosomal RNA (419 nucleotides) under uncultured bacterium. Its description in RNAcentral is "bacterial SSU rRNA". It matches the Rfam family "Bacterial small subunit ribosomal RNA", at positions 31 to 495 of the family's 1533-position model. The record is from RNAcentral.